UUCAUAACAUUCUGGUCCCAGAGAACAGGAGAGCCAACCAAGACUGGAGGAGGUGGGGUGCCUUUAUCCAUUAACCAGACUGCAGAUUGCAGGGGCAGAAACAGCAAAGAGAAAGGAAUGACAAGGGUCAGAGAGGAAGAAGCGGAAACAAUGAAGAGGUGAUGAGGGAGGAAUAAUGAAGGAUGAGAAAGGAAUGGCACCAUUUCCUCUCUCCUCUCUUCAUUCAAACAACCAGAUGGCUGGAGACUUGUGGACCUAGAAUUACUCCCACUUUUUAAUUUCUUGCUCUCACAGUUUGAACCAAAUUUGGUAGAAAACUUUAGAUUUUUGCUUUUACAAAUAUCAAUUGCUCAUUUGUAAUAAAAACGAUGAUGUUACUAAAACAAAA
Mauremys mutica (yellowpond turtle) is the source of this 388-nucleotide long non-coding RNA. RefSeq lists it as uncharacterized. The transcript is spliced from 2 exons. NCBI's taxonomy places the organism in Eukaryota, Metazoa, Chordata, Testudines, Geoemydidae. The record is from RefSeq and is a predicted model, not a curated record.